UGCCACAGCCGGGUAAUACCGGCAGCCCGAGUGAUGACCGAUCUUAUUGGGCCUAAAGCGUCCGUAGCUGGCCGACCAAGUCUCCCGGGAAAUCCACCCGCCCAACGGGUGGGCGUCCGGUAGAAACUGGCCGGCUUGGAACCGGAAGGCUCAGAGAGUACGUCCGGGGUAGGAGUGAAAUCCCGUAAUCCCGGACGGACUACCGAUGGCGAAAGCACUCUGAGAAGACGGCUUCGACAGUGAGGGACGAAAGCUCGGGUCUCAAACCGGAUUAGAUACCCGGGUAGUCC
RNAcentral lists this ribosomal RNA (290 nucleotides) under uncultured bacterium. RNAcentral describes it as "partial 16S ribosomal RNA". It matches the Rfam family "Archaeal small subunit ribosomal RNA", at positions 456 to 747 of the family's 1478-position model. The record is from RNAcentral.